GUCGCUCUGCAGCGGUCCUCCCCAUCAGCAGCAGAGGCAGCAGGGGCGUGGGCGGUGGCACUGCCGGGGCGCAUGUGGAGGUAGCUGCGCAUGAUGUAGGCGACGCGCAGGGCAUACUCGUUAUAGGGGACUUUGACAGGGGCGGACAGAGGAGGGGCCGGAGCCGCGAGCUGGGAGUCGUCCGGCGGCGCGGAGCUCGAUGAGGGGGGAGGCGGAGAAGGAGGGUUACUCUCUGACGGCUCAGGGGGCGUAUCCUGGGGCAGGGGCGACUGCUC
Molecule: long non-coding RNA, 275 nt
Filed under: Musa acuminata (dwarf banana)
Lineage: Eukaryota; Viridiplantae; Streptophyta; Magnoliopsida; Zingiberales; Musaceae
Description: long non-coding RNA (MACU_LNC010677)
Source: RNAcentral